Molecule: long non-coding RNA, 543 nt
Organism: Prosopis cineraria
Lineage: Eukaryota; Viridiplantae; Streptophyta; Magnoliopsida; Fabales; Fabaceae
Exons: 2
Source: RefSeq, a predicted model, not a curated record
CUUCCUCAGUACCCUGUGCCACAGUAUGCCAUGGUGGAGGAGCCUCUCUCCUCACAAGAGCCGUCAGCCGCUUUGACGGCAAUGGGGAGGGCCAGAAUCCGUCUCCGAGACCGAGAGGAUGGCCAGAGCCUCAACGCAACAGCCGUGGAGUCGGUGAUGUCGUCAACCUCUACGAUUAGAACAAGAAUGGCCACAUUCCGCCGUUCGCGAUGAUUCCUUCCAUUUUCGGAUGAAUUCGCCUCUCCAGCAAAUGAUGACAUUUAAGGGCUUCUAUAAACUAAACACCAAGGUUGAGGGGGAUUGGGAAAAUGAUAAAAAUCGAUUACAUGUGGGUCAGAGAGAGGCAAAGCUGACGGAGCAAGCAGUGUGACCGCAAUUGAGGCGAGAGUCACGGGCGCAAAGUAAAUGAUAGCGAUUAUUAGUACGUAUAAGACAAAUUUCAGCCCGGAGAUUUUGAAAUUCAUGCUUGAACGAGGAGUAUAUGUCCUCUGCCAUGACUUCAGAUUUAAACUUAAUUAAAUUUAUGUGUGAAUUACUGGUAAA